Molecule: long non-coding RNA, 2257 nt
Filed under: Homo sapiens (human)
Lineage: Eukaryota; Metazoa; Chordata; Mammalia; Primates; Hominidae
Description: HSALNT0382315
Source: RNAcentral
GAGCGUUUUCUAUUGCGGAGGACACUGGCAAAUGUAAAGCAAGAAGUGUCUUGAGAAGUGAUUACAACAGGGGGUUGCUUUCUCUUGCUGCUGUGACCUCUUCCACUACCACGAGGAUAACUCCUACUAACCUAAUGGAUGAUGACAGACACAUAGUCAUCACCCCAUCUGACAUCUGACCAACUGCCAGACAUGUAUGAGUGUGGCCCCUUAGACCAGCUAGCCUGCCAGCAACUACCAGACAUAUGAACAAGAGCAUUCUAGACCAUCCAGGCCCAGCUAAGCUGGCCCAGACCAGAAGACUUCCCCAGCAAACCCACAGACUGAUGAAAAAGAAUAAAUGCUUAUUGUUUAAGAGUGAAACCAGUAAGUUUUGAGGUAGUUUGUUCUGCAAUAAAAACUGAAACACAAAGCAUGUCUUUGCAGCUCUCAGGAUGGAUUUGUUUGGUGUACUUCUUGGAGUGCCUGAAGCCAACAUGCAUCAGCUUCACAGAGCUGGUCUGUGUUACCUUAAGUUAUCUCAUCAGAUUUCUCAUAGUUUUGCUGAUUUAUAGCAAAACAUAUUUAAGGCUUAAUAAUACACAUCAAGUCUCUUGUUAUUUCACUUGUUCAGUGAAGGUAAUUUUAUUUGCAAGGUUUUCAUUCAUUUUAUUACUUUUUUUUUUUUUUUUUUAAUUGAGCCGGGUCUCACUGUACUACCCAGACUGGUCUUGAACUUCUGGGCUCAGGCGAUCCUCCUGUGUCAGCCUCGAGGUCUCACUGUGUUACCCAGGCUGGUCCGGAACUCUUGGGCUCAAGCAGUCCUCCUGCAUCAGCCUCCCAAAGUGCCGGGAUUACAGGCACAAACAACUGUGCCAAGACUUGUUACUUUUUUUUUUUUUUUUUUUUUUUUUGAGACAGGGUCUCUCUCUUUCACCCAGGCUGGAGUGCACUGACAUGAUCUCAGUUCACUGCAGCCUCUGCCUCCCAGGCUCAAGCGGUCCUCCUACCUUAGCCUCCCGAGCAGCUGGGACCACAGGUGUGCACCAUCACGCGCAGCUAAUUUUUGUAUUUUUUGUAGAGAUGUGGUUUCACCCUGUUGCCCAGGCUGGUCUUGAACUCCUGGACUCAAGUGAUCCUCCUGCUUUGUCCUCCCAAAGUGUUUGGGAUUACAAGCGUGAGCCAUCGUGCCUGGCCCUUGUUACUCUUCUUUUUUUUUUUUGAGACAGUCUCACUCUGUCACCCAGGCUGGAGUGCAGUGGUGCGAUCUCAGCUCACUGCAAGCUCCGCUUCCUGGGUUCAUGCCAUUCUCCUGCCUCAGCCUCCCCAGUAGCUGGGACUACAGGCACCCGCCACCAAGCCCGGCUAAUUUUUUUUUGUAUUUUUAGUAAAGACAGGAUUUCACUGUGUUAGCCAGGAUGGUCUCGAUCUCCUGACCUCGUGAUUCGCCCGUCUCAGCCUCCCAAAGUGCUGGGAUUACAGGUGUGAGCCACUGUGCCCGGCCCUUGUUACUCUUUUUUUAAAACAAAGGUUAAGGCCAGGCUCGGUGCCUCUUGCCUAUAAUUUUAUCACUUUGAGAGGCCUAGAUGGGAAGAUCACUUGAGGCCAGGCAUUCAAGUUCAGCCUGGGCAACAUAGCAAGACCCUGUCUCUACAAAAAGGUUUUUUUUUUUUUUUUUUUUUUUGAGACGAAGCCUCAUUCUUGUCCCCCAGGCUGGUGUGCAAUAGCCUGAUCUCAGCUCACUGCAACCUCUGCCUCCUGGGUUCAAGUGAUUCUCCUGCCUCAGCCUCCUGAGUAACAGGGAUUACAGGCACCUACCACCACGCCUGGCUAAUUUUUGUAUUUUUAUUAGCGAUGGGGUUUCACCAUGUUGGCCAGGCUGGUCUCGAACUCCUGGCCUUAGAUGAUCCGCCCGCCUCGGCUUCCCAAAGUGCUAGGAUUACAGGCGUGAGCCACUGCACAUGGCCUGAAAAAGAAUUUUUUUUUUUUCUUUUUUUUGAGACGGAGUCUCAAUGUGUCACCCAGGCUGGAGUGCAGUGGCACAAUCUCUGCUCACUGCAACCUCCGCUUCCUGGGUUCAAGCAAUUUUUCUGUCUCUGCCUCCUGAGUAGCUGGAAUUACAGGCACCUGCCACCACACCCAGCUAAUUUUUGUAUUUUUAGUAGAGAUGGGGUUUCACGAUGUUGGCCAGGCUGGUCUCGAACUCCUGACCUCAAGUGAUCCACCUGCCUCGGCCUCUCAAAGUGCUGGAAUUAUAGACAUGAGCCAGCGUGCCCAG